This is a long non-coding RNA of Oncorhynchus tshawytscha (Chinook salmon), 1106 nucleotides long. RefSeq lists it as uncharacterized. Lineage: Eukaryota; Metazoa; Chordata; Actinopteri; Salmoniformes; Salmonidae. The record is from RefSeq and is a predicted model, not a curated record. The transcript has 4 exons.
GACCUAUAUGUCCCUGUCAACAGAGGUCUACAACGUACCUCUGACUGAAUCCCUUCCUAUAUGUCCCUGUCAACAGAGGUCUACAACGUACCUCUGACUGAAUCCAGACCUAUAUGUCCCUGUCAACAGAGGUCUACAACGUACCUCUGACUGAAUCCAGACCUAUAUGUCCCUGUCAACAGAGGUCUACAACGUACCUCUGACUGAAUCCCUUCCUAUAUGUCCCUGUCAACAGAGGUCUACAACGUACCUCUGACUGAAUCCAGACCUAUAUGUCCCUGUCAACAGAGGUCUACAACGUACCUCUGACUGAAUCCCUUCCUAUAUGUCCCUGUCAACAGAGGUCUACAACGUACCUCUGACUGAAUCCCUUCCUAUAUGUCCCUGUCAACAGAGGUCUACAACGUACCUCUGACUGAAUCCCUUCCUAUAUGUCCCUGUCAACAGAGGUCUACAACGUACCUCUGACUGAAUCCCUUCCUAUAUGUCCCUGUCAACAGAGGUCUACAACGUACCUCUGACUGAAUCCCUUCCUAUAUGUCCCUGUCAACAGAGGUCUACAACGUACCUCUGACUGAAUCCAGACCUAUAUGUCCCUGUCAACAGAGGUCUACAACGUACCUCUGACUGAAUCCAGACCUAUAUGUCCCUGUCAACAGAGGUCUACAACGUACCUCUGACUGAAUCCAGACCUAUAUGUCCCUGUCAACAGAGGUCUACAACGUACCUCUGACUGAAUCCAGACCUAUAUGUCCCUGUCAACAGAGGUCUACAACGUACCUCUGACUGAAUCCAGACCUAUAUGUCCCUGUCAACAGAGGUCUACAACGUACCUCUGACUGAAUCCAGACCUAUAUGUCCCUGUCAACAGAGGUCUACAACGUACCUCUGACUGAAUCCAGACCUAUAUGUCCCUGUCAACAGAGGUCUACAACGUACCUCUGACUGAAUCCCUUCCUAUAUGUCCCUGUCAACAGAGGUCUACAACGUACCUCUGACUGAAUCCAGACCUAUAUGUCCCUGUCAACAGAGGUCUACAACGUACCUCUGACUGAAUCCAGACCUAUAUGUCCCUGUCAACAGAGGUCUACAACGUACCUCUGACU